UGGGGAAUUUUGGACAAUGGGCGAAAGCCUGAUCCAGCAAUGCCGCGUGUGUGAAGAAGGCCUUCGGGUUGUAAAGCACUUUUGUCCGGAAAGAAAUCCUUGGCUCUAAUACAGUCGGGGGAUGACGGUACCGGAAGAAUAAGCACCGGCUAACUACGUGCCAGCAGCCGCGGUAAUACGUAGGGUGCAAGCGUUAAUCGGAAUUACUGGGCGUAAAGCGUGCGCAGGCGGUUUGCUAAGACCGAUGUGAAAUCCCCGGGCUCAACCUGGGACUGAUUGGUGACUGGCAGGCUAGAGUAUGGCAGAGGGGGGUGAGAAUUCCACGUGUAGCAGUGAAAUGCGUAGAGAUGUGGAGGAAUACCGAUGGCGAAGGCAGCCCCCUGGCCAAGUACUGACGCUCAUGCACGAAAGCGU
This 414-nucleotide ribosomal RNA is filed under the name uncultured bacterium. Its description in RNAcentral is "partial 16S ribosomal RNA". It matches the Rfam family "Bacterial small subunit ribosomal RNA", at positions 355 to 762 of the family's 1533-position model. The record is from RNAcentral.